This 2696-nucleotide unclassified non-coding RNA is filed under the name Patiria miniata (bat star). RNAcentral's name for it is "piwi-like protein 1, transcript variant X2". Lineage: Eukaryota; Metazoa; Echinodermata; Asteroidea; Valvatida; Asterinidae. The record is from RNAcentral.
UGAUUCCAAAGACCAAACUACUGGCUGGAUGAAACAACUUCCUGGUACAUGUAGUUGGGUGUUGUUAUGAUGAUAGGACCACACUUUCUUGCUCAUUUUGAAUGAAUGUUAAUUGUCUGGAUGUAUCCAGCUGAGGGGCCUACUGUAUCCUGGAAAAAGUUCUUGCAGAUAGAAAUGGUGGACAACAUCCAGCUUCUUUGUGAUCCAAGCAACAAAGAAAAUCAUCUGUAAAAAGAGCAAAGAAGUUUGGAAACACCCAACAUGGCCGACAGUCAGCAAGGCGUUGGCAGCGGGCGUGCCCGUGGUCGGGGGCGAGGCCGCGGCCGUGGGCGGGCCUCUGCAGGGCAGCAGCAGGGCCAGCCCCGGAGGCCUGGGGAGACAGCGCCUGCCACGCCCAUGCCUAGUGGUGAUGCUGAAGCCAUGCCUGCCCCAGGGAGGGGCAGAACCAGGGGAGGGGCUUCCCAGGUCCCUGGAUCAGGAGCUGCUAUAAGCAUGGAGCAAAGAGCGGCCAUGGCCGAGAGUUACCAUCCUCAUGCCCCGAGACCAAUGCCAGCUGAAGCGCCCCCUACAGCUCAGAUGGCAGCGUUGAGCAUGGGCGGGGCCCAGGGUGCUGAGGGAGGGGGAGUCAGUGGCCGCGGCAGACAGACAGAGCUCCGCUACGGAGAACAAAAAGCACCCAGACCCAUUGAUAAGAGAGGCAAGAAAGGAAAGCCGGUGGAGGUCUUGACCAACUGUUUCCGCAUGAAGGCUGCUGAUCAGUGGCUUCUGCACCAGUACAGCGUGGACUUCAGCCCCGUUGUGGACAACCCUAGGGCACGUCAUGCCCUGCUACGGGCUCACUCUGAGAUCCUAGGCACCCCCAUGGCCUUUGAUGGGAUGAUGUUGUUCCUGCUUCGAAGGCUUGAUGAGCCGGUGACCAGGUUUCAAACCAAACGCCGUGACUCUGAUGACAUCAUCACCAUUACUGUGACUCUCAAGAAUGCGCUGCCUCCUACUUCACCAACCUGCAUGCAGGUUUACAACAUCAUCUUCCGCAAGAUCCUUGGAUUGGUUGGCUUUGAGCAGAUUGGCCGGAACUAUUUCAACCCCAACGCCAAAAGGGAAAUCCAGCAACACAAGAUCCAGCUCCUGCCCGGUUUCAUCACCUCCAUCUUGCAGUAUGAGCAGGAGGUGCUCCUGAUGGCGGACGUCUCUCACAAGAUCCUGAGGACGGAGACAGUCUUGGACAUGCUGGCUGAGAUUCAGCAGACCAAGGGAGCAGGCUGGAGGGAUGUGGCCAAGAGAGUACUGGCAGGAGAAAUUGUCCUGACCAAGUACAACAACAAGACCUACCGAGUGGACGACAUCGACUUUAAUAUCAAUCCCAUGAACACAUUCGACAAGUUGGACGGCACUAAAAUAACCUACGCCCAGUACUACCGGGAUGCGUACGGGUUAAAUAUCAGUGAUCUAGGACAGCCACUGCUGGUCAGCAAUCCAAAGAAAAGGGAUCAGCGCCGGGGAAUGAUUGAUCACAUCCACCUGAUCCCUGAGCUGUGUACCCUGACGGGGCUCAGCGAAGCUAUGCGCAGUGAUUUCCACGUCAUGAAGGACCUGUCUGUGUACACUCGCAUCACGCCCAACGUCCGCAUGAAAGAGCUGACCAACUUCAUCGGUAGCUUUCCCAGGAAUCAAGAGGCGAAUACUUACCUGCAAAAGUGGCAGGUGAGCUUUGAAGCUCAGCCAGUCAGGAUCAACGCUCGCAUCAUGGAUCGGGAGAAAAUCCUCACCGGUCACCAGGGAAAGAAUGAGAUUUCCUUGGGGGAGAAUGCAGAGUGGAGCAGAGAUCUGCGGAAGGAUCUGCUGAGCUGUAUUGGUCUGCACAACUGGCUGCUGAUCUACACAGCGCGUGAUAGCAAGAACGCCAUGGAAUUCCUGAACGCCUUCAACACAGUGGCACCGCGUUUGGGAAUGGAAACCAGACCACCCUUAAUAUGUGAGCUACGUGAUGACCGCACUGAAAGCUUUAUCCGUGCCAUCCGACAGAACUUGAGUCCCCAGACACAGAUGGUUGUGUGUAUCCUACCAACUAUUCGUAAGGAUCGCUACGACGCCAUCAAGAAGUUCUGCUGUCUAGAGGCACCGGUACCCAGCCAGUGCAUUGUGGGUCGCACUAUCAACAAGAAACAGACCGUCAUGUCCGUAGCUACCAAGAUUGCUAUGCAAAUCAACUGCAAGAUGGGGGGAGAGUUGUGGACAGUUUUAAUUCCAUCCAAAAUGUUGAUGAUGGUGGUAGGAAUCGACUCUUAUCACGACUCCGCCACUAGAGGGCGCUCUGUCGGUGGCUUUGUCGCUUCCAUGAAUCAUGACCUUAGCAGGUACUUUUCACGAUGUACAUUCCAGCACACAGGACAGGAGCUCAUUGAUGGUCUCAAAGUCUGCAUGACAACCCUAAGUGCGCUGUGGUCGUCGUUAAGAAGCGAAUCAACAAUAGAUUUUGCUCCUUGAAUCAAGGAAAUCUCGUGAACCCAUCCCCAGGAACGGUGAUCGACUCGGUGGUCACCAAACCAGACUUAUACGACUUCUUCCUUGUCAGUCAGUCUGUACGCCAGGGCACGGUCACUCCAACCAGUUACAAUGUGAUCUGGGACAACUCGGGUCUGGCACCAGACAGCAUGCAAAGCCUGACCUACAAGCUCACCCAUCUGUACUUCAAU